GGAAAAAGCUAAGCCAAUAAAGAAAGAACCUGAGGUUACCAAAGAAAAGGUCCAGCCUGCACCUUCAAAGAAAGUUUCAGAAUCCACAUGGGCUACAUGGAUGAUGCGAACCAAACAACAUGUUUAACCAGUACAUUUUUAUUGUA
Molecule: long non-coding RNA, 146 nt
Organism: Sinocyclocheilus rhinocerous
Lineage: Eukaryota; Metazoa; Chordata; Actinopteri; Cypriniformes; Cyprinidae
Exons: 3
Source: RefSeq, a predicted model, not a curated record